Molecule: unclassified non-coding RNA, 217 nt
Filed under: uncultured Thelephoraceae
Lineage: Eukaryota; Fungi; Basidiomycota; Agaricomycetes; Thelephorales; Thelephoraceae
Description: sequence contains ITS2
Source: RNAcentral
ACACCUCAACUCUCAUGGUCCGCCAUGAUGAGCUUGGACUUUGGGGGUCUUGCCGGCCUAGUGUCGGCUCCUCUCAAAUGGAUCAGCUUGCCAGUGUUUGGUGGCAUCACAGGUGUGAUAACUAUCUACGCUUGUGGUUUUCUGCCAUAUAACCUUCAGUGAUGGAGGUUCUCUGGAGCUCACAGAUGUCUCUCCUUGGGGAGGACAGCUUUUGAAC